UUUCCGUAGGUGAACCUGCGGAAGGAUCAUUAUUGAAUGAAACGCUUCUGGCUUUAUGCUGCUGUGCUGGCCCUUUAGGCAAUGUGCACACGACUCUGGCCACUUGUUUCUUCUGUUCUACCUGUGCACUGCCUGUAGACCCGGUGUGUCUUUGUUAUUUGUUAAACCACAACUAUGUUAGUGGGCAUGUUACAUAUAAUAAUAAAAUAUACAACUUUCAACAACGGAUCUCUUGGCUCUC
Molecule: unclassified non-coding RNA, 241 nt
Filed under: plant metagenome
Description: partial contains small subunit ribosomal RNA, internal transcribed spacer 1, and 5.8S ribosomal RNA
Source: RNAcentral